This is a long non-coding RNA of Tigriopus californicus, 1153 nucleotides long. RefSeq lists it as uncharacterized. The record is from RefSeq and is a predicted model, not a curated record. The transcript has 4 exons. Lineage: Eukaryota; Metazoa; Arthropoda; Copepoda; Harpacticoida; Harpacticidae.
UCAUGAAAGCACUCAUUAUAAACAAGAUUGCGAUCAGAAAGCCCUGAAUCAAAUCAGAACAAAGUUUUUUCAGCUGUUGUUGCUUUAGUUAGUGGCCACAAGGAAAAGCCUGGAAAUCGGUCAGGAUAUGUAGUCAUACUUGGUUCAACAUGGCUGGGUAUGUGGUCAUUGGUGCUCUCCUCUUGAGUAUCAGCCAUGGCACUUUCGGUCUUUGGUGUUUUCAAUGCUCGGAAUUCGUGUCAAAUCAGGAGAGGCUUGUCCAAGCCUUCGACCAAUCACACCCUUUGGUCCCGGAAUACGAAUAAGUACUAUGAGAUCACGGGACCGCAGCGAAGUGCGCCGUGGGAUAUUCCAACUCAUCAGGUCGAGUUUAUUAUCAGUCAAGUGUAACUGGGACUGAGUGUGAGAGUUAGGUUCCAAACUCGAAUCGUGGCUAAUUUACACUCGCUCAAUCAGGCGGAUCAGAUGGAACAGUUAGCUGUUGUUACAAGGACGGCUGUAACUGGAAUGGAACCGUAUCCAGAUCUGGCCUAUCCUAUGCCGGAUACAGCGAACGGUUCACUCUAAAAAGUGCAGCAACCGUGGCACUCGCCAAUUCUGGAUGGAAGAUUGGAUGUACAUUCUCUUGGAUGUAUUCUCCUUCUCCUCCUUCUACUAUUUUGUUGCUGCUGCUGUUUCUUCGGAUGUUGUCGACCACUUUCAGGAAGAAGAAAAGGACAAGGAUGCAGGCGAAGGAAAUGAUGAAUAACUUGGGGUACUACUAUCGAGAUCAACAUUCUAGCGAUUCUGCCAAGAGCAAAGGAGUUCCAAGACGGAUCAUGGUGGCCAGCGCUGAAAGGGAACCAGAGAUCAAGGUGUUCUCCAAUCGGAUCAUGAGCGGUAUUCAGCUAUAGAUCGCCGAAUUUAUCAAAGGACCAUUCCGGACAGUUCAGCUAACUCUGACUAUAACAGUCGGGAUCGACUUCUCGGCGAGAUUCAGAUGCCUACACAGCUACAAUAAGAACCCGAAUUGCCGCCAUUUCACGUGAGGUGUUCGACAACGAUGGUUUCAAGCAAAGCCAAAUGCCGUGGUCAAUCCUGGAGAGAAACCCGAACUCGCAAGAAGCAUCUUGAAUGGCAACAAGUAUGGUCCAAAGGCGAGCCCAUGAAGGAC